This 465-nucleotide ribosomal RNA is filed under the name uncultured bacterium. RNAcentral describes it as "partial 16S ribosomal RNA". It matches the Rfam family "Bacterial small subunit ribosomal RNA", at positions 28 to 507 of the family's 1533-position model. The record is from RNAcentral.
GACGAACGCUGGCGGCGUGCUUAACACAUGCAAGUCGAACGGAAAGGCCCCUUUGGGGGUACUCGAGUGGCGAACGGGUGAGUAACACGUGAGUAACCUGCCCUUGACUUCGGGAUAACUUCAGGAAACUGGGGCUAAUACCGGAUAGGAAUCCUUGCUGCAUGGUGGGGGUUGGAAAGCUUCGGCGGUUUUGGAUGGACUCGCGGCUUAUCAGCUUGUUGGUGGGGUAGUGGCUUACCAAGGCUUUGACGGGUAGCCGGCCUGAGAGGGCGACCGGCCACAGUGGGACUGAGAUACGGCCCAGACUCCUACGGGAGGCAGCAGUGGGGAAUAUUGCACAAUGGGCGGAAGCCGGAUGCAGCAACGCCGCGUGCGGGAUGACGGCCUUCGGGUUGGAAACCGCUUUCAGCAGGGGCGAAGCUUGUGGUGACGGUACCUGCAGAAGAAGCACCGGCUAACUACGUG